This 483-nucleotide ribosomal RNA is filed under the name uncultured bacterium. RNAcentral's name for it is "partial 16S ribosomal RNA". The record is from RNAcentral.
AAUNNGNAAAGCCCUUUUGAGCUAACCCUAUGACCGCCGCUGCUGGCCGCCGAUUUGAAAGAGCUAUUCCUAUUGCCGCGCGAAAGUGCUUUACCAUUUUUUAGGGCUUCAUGCCACACCCGGUGGGGCUGGAUUAGGCAUUGGUGCAUUGUGCAAUAUUCCCCACUGCUGCCUACCGCCAGAGUGUGGGCCGAGUCUCAUAUACCAGGUGGCGGAUCAUCCCUUGAGACCACCUUCCCAUAGCAACCUUGUUGAGCCUCUACCUCACCAACUAGCUAAACAGACAUUUGCUCAUUCUGUCGCGCGAGGCCUUACGGUCCCCCGCUUUUACCCUCAGGGAAUAUGCGGGAUUAGUGCAAGUUUGUACACAUUAUCCCCCACAUAAAGGUAGAUUACGAUGUAUUCCUUACCCGUACGCCGCUCGCACCCACAGAAUUGGUCUGCUUGUGCUGCGCUUCGAAUUGCAUGUGUUAAGCCGCCCCC